UCGCCUUUAAUUGCCGAAGAACUCGAUUCCAGAGAUCCAGUUGAGCUUCCGUCACCUUUAGUUUCUGAAGAAAAUGAGUCGAGAGUUUCCGAGUCAUCGGCUACAACUGAAAAAGCAGAGCUGGCUGAAUCGCCUUUCAUUACUGAAGAACUUGAUUCCAGAGAUCCUGUUGAGCCUCUAUCACGUCUAAUUUCUGAAGAAAAUGAGUCUGUAGUUUCUGAGUCAUCUGCUACAACUGGAAAAGCAGAGCUGGCUGAAUCGCCUUUAAUUACUGAAGAACUUGAUUCCAGAGAUCCUGUUGAGCCUCUAUCACGUCUAAUUUCUGAAGAAAAUGAGUCUGUAGUUUCUGAGUCAUCUGCUACAACUGAAAAAGCAAUGCUGGCUGAGUCGCCUUUAAUUGCUGAAGAACUCGAUUCCAGAGAUCCAGUUGAGCUUCCGUCACCUCUAGUUUCUGAAGAAAAGGAGUCGAGAGUUUCCGAGUCAUCGGCUACAACUGAAAAAGCAGAGCUGGCUGAAUCGCCUUUAAUUACUGAAGAACUUGAUUCCAGAGAUCCUGUUGAGCCUCUAUCACCUCUAAUUUCUGAAGAAAAUGAGUCUGGAGUUUCUGAGUCAUCUGCUACAACUGGAAAAGCAGAGCUGGCUGAGUCGCCUUUAAUUGCCGAAAAACUCGAUUCCAGAGAUCCGGUUGAGUCUCCAUCACCUCUAGUUUCUGAAGAUAACGAGUCUAGAGUUUCCGAGUCAUCUGCUACAACUGAGAAAGCAAAGCUGGCUGAGUCGCCUUUAAUUGCCGAAGAACUUGAUUCCAGAGAUCCAGUUGAGCCUCUGUCACCUCUAGUUUCUGAAGAAAAUGAGUCGAGAGUUUCCGAGUCAUUGGCUACAACUGAAAAUGCAGAGCUGGCUGAAUCGCCUUUAAUUACUGAAGAACUUGAUUCCAGAGAUCCUGUUGAGUCUCUGUCACCUCUAAUUUCUGAAGAAAAUGAGUCUGGAGUUUCUGAGUCAUCUGCUACAACUGGAAAAGCAGAGCUGGCUGAGUCGCCUUUAAUUGCCGAAAAACUCGAUUCCAGAGAUCCGGUUGAGUCUCCAUCACCUCUAGUUUCUGAAGAUAACCUCUAGUUUCUGAAGAUAACGAGUCUAGAGUUUCCGAGUCAUCUGCUACAACUGAGAAAGCAAAGCUGGCUGAGUCGCCUUUAAUUGCCGAAGAACUUGAUUCCAGAGAUCCUGAGUCCCCUGUUGCAACUGGAAAAUCAGAUAUUGCUGCAGGAACUAAGUUGUCUAUUAUCUGUAGAGAAAAACAAUUGAGAGCAUCUGAGGUACCUGUUACAACUGAGAAAUCCGAAAUUGUGGUUGAACCUCUGUUGCCUCAAAGCUCGAAAGUAAACAAGUCGAGAGUUUCAGGUUCACCUCUUAUAGUUGAAAAGGACAACUUGGUGGUUGAAACUCAGUUGCCUCUUAUCUACAAAGAAAAUGAUACGGGAGUUUCUUUAUCACCUGUUACUACUGA
This 1501-nucleotide long non-coding RNA is filed under the name Linum usitatissimum (flax). RNAcentral describes it as "long non-coding RNA (LUSI_LNC008123)". The record is from RNAcentral. Lineage: Eukaryota; Viridiplantae; Streptophyta; Magnoliopsida; Malpighiales; Linaceae.